This is a long non-coding RNA of Salvia miltiorrhiza (redroot sage), 412 nucleotides long. RefSeq lists it as uncharacterized. Lineage: Eukaryota; Viridiplantae; Streptophyta; Magnoliopsida; Lamiales; Lamiaceae. The record is from RefSeq and is a predicted model, not a curated record. The transcript has 3 exons.
GCUGAUUCCACCAUUAUCACACUCCAUAGAAUCCCUUGAAGCCCCAAGAGAAGUAGCAAAGCAAGGGAGAGCGUGGAAAAACUAAGGCGUAAAGUUAGAGUGAAGGUUGUGCUUCGAGGGAAUUGGUUCACAGGACGAUACUACAGCUUAAGAUCGCCUCUCUUCCAUACCGAGGAUCAGGUUGAACUGUGAUGGGCGAUGAAGUGUUGCUGAGUGGAGUUUUUGUCGAACUUAAAGUAGGCUCAGAAAGGAUACAUGUCUUCAUACAUGUAUCUCAGUUAUGCAUUCCGCUGUAAACACUGAUUAUUUCAGUUAUGCCUUCCGUUGCAAACUCUGAUAAUGUUUUAGCCAAGCCCCUAACGAUGCCUUUUUCCUUUUAAGGAAUAUAACGCGUAUACAAGUUCUUUGAGUA